AGUGCCUCGUAAAUAAUCAGUACGACGUGGCUAUAAGAAGUGUUCAAAAUCCAGACAAGAGAUUGCGUGAAAAAAACGUUGUUCAAAGGAUACAGGGUAGAGAGGGUGAAUUCGCGAUGCAAUUUGUUUCACCUUUGAAUACAGAAAUUCUGCUGGAUUUAGCACGCUGCUCAGCUAGCACCUCUGUCCUACCUAUAGUAGCUGGCUAGGAAACGUUAGCUAGCUAGCAUUAGGUCUGACUCAAGAAUGGGAAAAUUCUUAAGAAAGAAACUGAUGAAGACACAACAGAAGGGGCCAUGGGGCGCUGUGUUGUAUUUUAAAUAGUUAAAUCUGUUAUCAAUUUCUAUUCUGACUUGUAAUGUUAAAAAAGGUAGAGAAAAUGAACUCCUGUUUCUCUGAAUUAGCUAGGCUCACGUUGAUAAACUACACAGAUUUGAGUCACUGCAAUUAAAAUUGUUUUCCCAAUGUAUCCUUCAAUUCAAUUGUUUUCACUAUGUAUUGCAUGUUUGAGGAGAUGAUAUACUGUUAAACAUGUUUGUAACUUAAUAUUAAUAAAUUGCCAGAAGGUU
This is a long non-coding RNA of Oncorhynchus kisutch (coho salmon), 569 nucleotides long. RefSeq lists it as uncharacterized. The record is from RefSeq and is a predicted model, not a curated record. NCBI's taxonomy places the organism in Eukaryota, Metazoa, Chordata, Actinopteri, Salmoniformes, Salmonidae. The transcript is spliced from 2 exons.